Molecule: unclassified non-coding RNA, 280 nt
Filed under: Pannariaceae sp.
Lineage: Eukaryota; Fungi; Ascomycota; Lecanoromycetes; Peltigerales; Pannariaceae
Description: partial contains 5.8S ribosomal RNA, internal transcribed spacer 2, and large subunit ribosomal RNA
Rfam family: 5.8S ribosomal RNA (bases 1-71)
Source: RNAcentral
GUGAAUCAUCGAAUCUUUGAACGCACAUUGCGCCUAUUGGUAUUCCAAUAGGCAUGCCUGUUCGAGCGUCAUUUAACUCUUCAAGCUUUGCUUGGUGUUGGGCAUUGUUCGCCUUGCGAACUUGCCUUGAAUAAAUUGGCAGCCAGCAAUUGGGUGUUGGAGCGCAGCACAUUUUGCGCUCCUGGCCACACUAGCAGGCGUCCAGAAAGCUUAUUUCCACGUUUGACCUCGGAUCAGGUAGGGAUACCCGCUGAACUUAAGCAUAUCAAUAAGCGGAGGA